Cryptotermes secundus is the source of this 1434-nucleotide RNA transcript. It is a transcript of the gene named GILT-like protein 1, with no coding region annotated. The transcript has 7 exons. NCBI's taxonomy places the organism in Eukaryota, Metazoa, Arthropoda, Insecta, Blattodea, Kalotermitidae. The record is from RefSeq and is a predicted model, not a curated record.
UGUCCCGGCUUCAACACGUGUUAUUGAAUGGAGAUGUGAAAACUGAGGAAACUACAUAGCCAUUUUCUCAAUUUUCACUGCUCCAUUCAGUAAGAUGUGUUCAACUCAGGCUAAUAACAAUUCUCGAGAAUUGCGGUUUCCAGUUUCCUUAGUGGGUCAUCAAUCUAGUAACCGGUGACGACGGUAGUCUUGUGCGGUCGUACGUACGUGAGUGAUGAUGUUCGAGCGGUUUGUAAAAGUUAAUGUAAAUGUUUGAAGCGUGUAUGGGUUAAAAGAACGAAAUUGUUAUUUUAAAAUGUCUGUUACAUAUAUGAUGCGCUUGAAAAUAGUUGCUUUUGUAGUUGUUUGUUUUUUGCUGUGGCAGACACUACGGCAUUUCCCUUCUUUUUCCGAGUUCUCAAAUCAGAGUUUGAGUCACCACUGGGAAACUGUGGUGCCGUCAAGAGUGCCACCAAUAAUAGUAACUGUAUUUUAUGAAGCUCUUUGUCCAGACUCAAGAAGUUUUUUUACAAAACAGUUACUACCAACUUUUGAGAAAAUUCCACAUCUUAUACAGGUUAAUUUGGUGCCAUAUGGGAAAGCCAAGACAGAGACAGUGGAAGCCGGCUACAUGUUCAGUUGUCAGCAUGGGCCAUUGGAGUGCCAGGCAAACAAGAUUCAUGCUUGUGCCAUCUCUAAGGUGACACAGCCUGAUACACAGCUGAAAUACACAACCUGCAUGAUCAGUGAUAACAUGAACCCAGAGAAGAUUGGAGAAGAGUGUGCCCAGGAGCAUGGUGUGAAAUGGAAGUCAAUAGCAGAAUGUGCAGCAGGUAGUGAAGGAGAUGAGCUGUUGAAACGUCAUGGCGACACAACCAAUGCGCUAUAUCCGAGAGUGAAUUUCAUCCCCACUGUCUUGCUGAACCAGAGCCAGGACAGCCAGCCUGCAAUACUGAAGGACCUUCUUAGAGAGGUGUGCACCCGAUUACAAGAACAGGCCUGGGCUGACCCAGGAGGGUAGCAGUACAAUAGAAAUGAAGAGGAAUGAUAUUCUAGCAAAGAUGGGGUGGGAAGAUUAACCUGAGUGGAAGACUGAAGUUGCUGAUCUCAGUGCAAUAGACUGCAGUCAGUACCAGAGUGUGGAUGAUGCCUACAGAUCAGCAUGACACAACAUACAUAUUCAUAUCCCUCCAGGUUCACAGACCCAGUCUCCAUUUUUCAGUAUUUAACCACUAGAACAACUGUACUAUUAUUAACAAUGUUUGGGUUAUUUGUUAAUGGUGCUGUCCGUAACAUACAUUUUUGAUGUAGUGGAACUGCUUACAUUUCUUCAUAUGAUUAACAGUUUUGUCCUCUCCAAGGGAAUACUUAUAUUAAAAUUGUAUGUCAUUUAUGGCAUAUAAUUACAUUGUAAAUAAUAUGCUACUUCUGAAAAAUAUGCACAUUUUAUUAAAA